This 481-nucleotide ribosomal RNA is filed under the name uncultured bacterium. RNAcentral's name for it is "partial 16S ribosomal RNA". It matches the Rfam family "Bacterial small subunit ribosomal RNA", at positions 30 to 507 of the family's 1533-position model. The record is from RNAcentral.
UUGAACGCUGGCGGCAUGCUUUACCCCUGCAAGUCGAACGGUAACAGGCCGCAUGGUGCUGACGAGUGGCGAACGGGUGAGUAAUGCAUCGGAACGUGCCCAGUCGUGGGGGAUAACUACUCGAAAGAGUAGCUAAUACCGCAUACGAUCUAUGGAUGAAAGCGGGGGACCGUAAGGCCUCGCGCGAUUGGAGCGGCCGAUGUCAGGUUAGGUAGUUGGUGGGGUAAAGGCUCACCAAGCCAACGAUCUGUAGCUGGUCUGAGAGGACGACCAGCCACACUGGAACUGAGACACGGCCCAGACUCCUACGGGAGGCAGCAGUGGGGAAUUUUGGACAAUGGGCGCAAGCCUGAUCCAGCAAUGCCGCGUGCAGGAAGAAGGCCUUCGGGUUGUAAACUGCUUUUGUACGGAACGAAACGGCUCUGGUUAAUACCCGGGGCUAAUGACGGUACCGUAAGAAUAAGCACCGGCUAACUACGUG